UAUACGACUCUUUCUGUUUUACUCUGGUUCUUCAAAAUUGAUAAGUUUAUUGUUCUUCUUUCGUCACCGCAGCAGCACAACAACCAUGGAUUACAAUCACCACUACUUAUUCUUCCUCCGUUCUAUCUCAUGCUGCUUAUUCCACUAGUUCAUCAUUUUGUUCUUUCCAUCACAAAAGAAACCGCCAGAAGGGUACAAGGAUGCUAUUAUUUAAGCGAAACAACGCACGACACAUUUAUGUGGAGCGAGCCACUUGCUGGGACAAUUAGAAGAGGAAGACAACAUUGGAAGAUAAUAUGCUAAAGAAGGAAAUGCUUGCCGAUAAAAGGAAUGUACUGAAUGUAUUAUGCUCGUUGACAAUGGUAAGGUAUCAAAGAAUUGACUGUGAAAGUAGGCAGGCUUAUGAACGUUGAGCGCUACCCCCAUCUCAUUCUUAUCUCUUCUAUGAAAAUGGUGUAGAUUUUACUAGUUACGGAGCAUUUUGGAUCCUAAGAUAUCAAUCACUUGCUGGCCAGUGAGCAGAAAAAAGGGGAAAAAAUUUAAAGAUGGAGAAACAAAGAAGAAGUAUUUUCAUGUCGAAGCAAAGAAGAAGCUUGAAGAGAAUUUUCCCAUAAACAAACUUUGGAGUCGAGCAAAAAAAAAAAUAAAGAAGAAGAAAGUGUGGUAGAUAAAUCCGGGAAGUUACAACAGAAAAUGUACAUGUUUCCUUUGUUAGUUAUUACCUGAUUAAGUUAUCGGCUCGGCUUGGAUAUUAGCCGUAUAAUGUUUUUAAGCAUUAAAAAAAAUGCCACCUCAACAGAGUAUAUGCCCUUAGAUUAAGGGGGAUGGACGGACAACAGCAUGUGUCUAAUCUAUGCGUCAAAACUUAAAGUCCCAUGAUCCGGACUUAAAAAAAAAUUAAAACAAAAGGGAUAGAAAUACAGAUGGGUUGCCUCCCACGAAGCGCCUGGUUUAACGUCGUCAAAUCCCGACGUUGUUGUCAUCGUCCAUACACCAAUAAUCUAAAGAUUUGGUAAUCCUUUU
Papaver somniferum (opium poppy) is the source of this 1023-nucleotide long non-coding RNA. RefSeq lists it as uncharacterized. The transcript is spliced from 5 exons. Lineage: Eukaryota; Viridiplantae; Streptophyta; Magnoliopsida; Ranunculales; Papaveraceae. The record is from RefSeq and is a predicted model, not a curated record.